Molecule: long non-coding RNA, 3361 nt
Organism: Gasterosteus aculeatus aculeatus (three-spined stickleback)
Lineage: Eukaryota; Metazoa; Chordata; Actinopteri; Perciformes; Gasterosteidae
Source: Ensembl
CGCCAUGACCGGAGAGCAUGUAUAUGACCGCCAUGACCGCCAUGACUCUCUCUCUCGCCAUGCACGCCAUGCACGCCAUAACCGCCAUGACCACAAUAACCGCCAUGACCGCCAUGCACACUAUGCACGCCAUGACCGCCGUAACCGCCAUGACCACCAUGACCGCCAUGACCGCCAUGCUUGCCAUGCACGCCAUAACCAUCAUCACCACAAUAACCGCCAUGACCGCCAUGCACACUAUGCACGGCAUAACCACCAUGACCACAAUAACCGUGACCACCGCCAUACACACCAUGACCGCCAUGCACACUAUGCACGGCAUAACCACCAUGACCACAAUAACCGCCAUGACCGCCAUACACACCAUGACCGCCAUGCACACUAUGCACGCCAUAACCGCCAUGACCACAAUAACCGCCAUGACCGCCAUGCACACUAUGCACGCCAUAACCGCCAUGACCACCAUGCACGCCAUGCACACCAUGACGCCGUGAUCACUCAUAACCACGUUUCAUAGACUUACUGAAGAGCAAACUUCUGCUCACUGCUCUUCUGACCAAGGUGACGGUGACUGUUUGUUGGUACGAAGACCUGACACCUUCAUCUGGGGUCUUUGUGUUGUGCCGACCCAGUGACCCUCCGACCCCUCGCCACACCCUAAAGUCUUUGAAAAGAGGCGCGUCUCUUCCCUCCCUGUUCCUGUGCUGCUCUUUGUCUCCGGACUCGUCUUCUCGUGACGGCGUCCUCGUCAACACACAAACCUUCCGUCCGCUCGCUUCCUGCUGAGAAUCCUUCAGGAUGUGCACCUUUUGAGAAUAAAGCUUUCACACAGUCGGCAGAAAGGCCCUUGAGCUCACGCAGGUAUUCAUUUGCGGCGAUUACCUGCAGCUUCACAGGACCUGCAGCAGUCUCAGCGGGGGGGUGGAGGGGGGGACUAUUUGUCUCCUCUUUUGUCCCUUCCUUUUAUGGCUGAGGGCUCCCCUCCCUCAGAGCUUAAUGAGAUGUUUACAUGGAGCCGGCUGUGGGAACCGGGGCCCAUAUGCCGCUGUGUGAGAUGACAGGGACCUGCUUUGUUUCUAUGGCCUUGUGAAGAGGUCUUAGUGCUGAAAUCAGAGCCCCCGGCCUCCUUCCACCUGCAGCCUGGGGCGGGACGUCCGCCACCACAUCUGCUGUCACUCAAAGAGAGGCGCUUAUUCUUUUCCUCCCUCGAGCAUCCAGGCAACUGCUGUCGUAAGAGUAAAAGGGAAGAAGGUCGAUCUGUUUCUCUUCCUCUAGUAGUCCGAGCCGCAGACAGGUAAACAGGCAGACAGGUAAACAGGCGGACAGGUAAACAGGCAGACAGGUAAACAGACAAACAGGUAAACAGACAAACAGGUAAACAGGCAGACAGGUAAACAGGCAGACAGGUAAACACAAACAGGUAAACAGGCAGACAGGUAAACAGGCGGACAGGUAAACAGGCGGACAGGUAAACAGGUACACAGGUAAACAGGCAGACAGGUACACAGGCAGACAGGUAAACGGACAGACAGGUAAACAGGCAGACAGGUAAACGGACAGACAGGUAAACAAGUAAACAGGUACACAGGCAGAGAGGCAGAAAGGUAAACAGGCAGACAGGUAAACAGGCAGACAGACAGAAAGGUAAACAGGCAGACAGGUAAACGGGCAGACAGGCAGACAGGUAAACAGGCAGAGAGGUACACAGACAGGUAAACAGACAAACAGGCAGACAGGUAAACAGGCAGACAGGUAAACAGGCAGACAGGUAAACAGACAGACAGGUAAACAGGCAGACAGGUAAACAGGCAGACAGGUAAACAGACAGACAGGUAAACAGACAGACAGGUAAACAGGCAGACAGGUAAACAGACAGACAGGUAAACAGGCAGACAGGCAGAGAGAAGCAGGUCUAAAUGUGCCCCCACUGCUGAUAAAGGCCGUAAACCUGCUGUUAUCAGACAGGCACCUUAGAGCUUCUGCACCUGCUGCUGCAGCUCACACAGUGACCUCCACUAAGAGGAGCCCGACACACACCUGUCCCACCUGUCCACCCUGUCCACCCUGGAUGUCUCGUCGUCUGAGGUUAAACAUUUGCCUUUUUCCACAACCCUGUAUCGUGAUGUUGUAAACCGGGAAACCCCCCUCAGACCCCCUCAGCAUGUCGAUGAUUUACUUCCUUAAAUGUCUCUUUCAAACUUCUCAAAUCUCAAACCGGUUUGAUCAAAGUUCUGCGUAUGGAAACAAAGUGAAGAUGCGAGUGUGAAAUGGUGGAUUGACCACAUCUCUAAUCUGAUAAUAACUAAAUAUCCCAUUUGAAUAAAUGAAGACUAACGGAAGAGAACUUAAAAGGGAUUAAAAGUAGAACCGGGUUCAUUUGCUGCAUCAGUGGAAUCGGGAGGAUUGUUAGAAAAACCCUCAAAUGAUUUGACUUUUCACGCGUUUUACAAACAGGUGAAGUGUCUUCACACGUCUCCCUCCUCCAUCUUUGACCCGACUCAAUCAAACCAAAAGACCUCUUCUCCUCUGGUCCUCACAGCUUCCGUCCACGUGUCUCCAGAGCACAGACCUCGUCCCUCGGAUGAAUCCACUCGCACCUGCAGUCUGAACGUCGGCAGAAUAAAAAUAAUUGUAUUGCAAUGUGAGGAAUUUCCACAUGUUGCCUUAGAAAUGGGAACACGUGUGUGUGAUUGAGACACACACACACACACACACACACACACACACACACACGUAGGAGGAAUGCCUGAUCCGACGCUUCACUCUUGCGCCGAUGAUAAGUGUACUCGGUAUGUGCGGAGGCGGAGCCGGGCUCCCCGUCUGUCAGCGCGCUGUCAGCUGAUCAAACGGCGUUUCCUCUGAAGGUGUGAGGACAGAGGACAGAGGACAGAGGAGGUCAGCUAAAUCCUCUUUCCCCUUUGUCUCCCCGCAGGAGCUCAGCUGGCUGCGCGCUCCACCGGGCCGAGACGCCUGAAGGGGAGCGAGGAGCCGCCUCACCUGGAGCCCCUCUCAGGUCACCUUCACUCCGCCCGCUGACCCGUUACUGUGACACCACAGACCAUUGAUUAUGGUGCUUUGGUCCCCGCGAAGGAACGCUGAGUUCUCGUCUUCCCUCGUGACGCUUUCGGACCCAACGAGGUCACAAACGCGUCGCAUUGUCGCACAAAAUCACCUGACACAACCUGACCCCCCCCCCCCAAGGUGACCCCAUCGCAGCUUUUAGGAAUUCAAAGGGGUGAAUCAGAUGCCACACCGUCACCGUCCGCCUGCCCUCGAGCAAGGGAGAAUGUGUCAGGGCUCCGCCCCCCCCUGGUCUGCAGAGCAAAGACGCCGUGAGAAAACGAGGGUCCGAUGGCCAAAA